Symphalangus syndactylus (siamang) is the source of this 1173-nucleotide long non-coding RNA. RefSeq lists it as uncharacterized. The record is from RefSeq and is a predicted model, not a curated record. NCBI's taxonomy places the organism in Eukaryota, Metazoa, Chordata, Mammalia, Primates, Hylobatidae.
UUUAUUCUUUUUAGAUGAUUACCCCGGGGCUCCUCUGAGAAAAAUAGGAGUAGAUUGCUGGAAUUACGAUGGGUUAAAAUGAAAGAUGGGAUGACCUGGCUGGACAAAGGCACAGGCACUCAGGAAGACGAGAACUCCUGCUCCUUCUCUGAACCGGAUUUUCCUGGCUGUAGAGCCCAGAUCAACCCUUCCAUUCCAUCGAUUUGAACCGCAGCUUUGGGAAUGAUGAUUUCACUGGAAGUGCGGUGGUGGACAAAGGUGGAAGCAAGGUUAGGUAAUUUCACUGUGUCACACUCUGUCACCUAGGCUGGAGUGCAGUGGAACAUUCUCAGCUCACUGCAUCCUUGGCCUCCCAGGGGGCUCAAGCCAUCCUCCCGCCUCAGUCUCCCAAGUAGCUCGGACCACAGCUUUGUAUCCAGUGGAGGAGGCUUGGGCCCAAGCUGGUAAAAUGAGAAGUUAGGGGAGGAUGUCCUCAGAGAGCUGGAAGAUCGCAGUCCUCAUGGUCACAACCGAUAGAUACAGUGUUGAUAGGGACAACAUAUGCCUUGGAAUGUUUCAAAUACUUUGCCACAAUUAAGGGACACUGAACAGGAACUCAGUUUUGGAAAACAAAGUGGAAUUUCUGGAAACUGCUAGCAUAAAAGCUUUGACAGGGUCACAUGCAGAUUAGCAUAAUUUUAUUACAUUUUCUAUUUUAGUCCUGUGAGAUGCUAAUUUGGAUUUCAUUGUGCCCAUUGAGCGGCUUUUGUUCUUUGGCUGUGAAUUUAAUUAUUUAGUUAUUUAUGAGUGCAUCUGGGCAUAAGUGCCACAGUUUUAUUUCGGUGACAAAUUUAUGGUCAGUGAAUUUUAGUAAUUAAUGAAUAAACUAUUUCUCCUCCAUAAAUGCCCCUGCAAUUUCUGAUUUUCAUAACCAUUCAUAAUACUUAAGAAAAGUUCUUUAUUAGUUGAAAAAGCCAAUGCUAAUGGAAUCAGGAAAAGGAGAUUUCAAAUUGCUUUAAUUAACUGUAUUAAUUAGUAUCCAACGUGUAAGAUACUGAAUUGGCUUUGGUUGUCUCUCUUAGCAUUUAGUCGUCUAAAAUCUGUUUAAGAUAUGAAUAUACUGUAUUAAAAUAAAUUCUAAUUCUUUUGUGAAGUAAAUGGCAAGAAUAAAAGGAUCUCCUUUAUAAUCUUUAA